Molecule: ribosomal RNA, 497 nt
Filed under: uncultured bacterium
Lineage: Bacteria
Description: partial 16S ribosomal RNA
Rfam family: Bacterial small subunit ribosomal RNA
Source: RNAcentral
GAUGAACGCUGGCGGCGUGCCUAAUACAUGCAAGUCGAGCGAACAGAUGAGGAGCUUGCUCCUCUGACGUUAGCGGCGGACGGGUGAGUAACACGUGGAUAACCUACCUAUAAGACUGGGAUAACUUCGGGAAACCGGAGCUAAUACCGGAUAAUAUAUUGAACCGCAUGGUUCAAUAGUGAAAGACGGUUUUGCUGUCACUUAUAGAUGGAUCCGCGCCGCAUUAGCUAGUUGGUGAGGUAACGGCUUACCAAGGCAACGAUGCGUAGCCGACCUGAGAGGGUGAUCGGCCACACUGGAACUGAGACACGGUCCAGACUCCUACGGGAGGCAGCAGUAGGGAAUCUUCCGCAAUGGGCGAAAGCCUGACGGAGCAACGCCGCGUGAGUGAUGAAGGUCUUCGGAUCGUAAAACUCUGUUAUUAGGGAAGAACAAAUGUGUAAGUAACUAUGCACGUCUUGACGGUACCUAAUCAGAAAGCCACGGCUAACUACGUG